GCGCCCGUAGCUCAGCUGGAUAGAGCGUCUGCCUCCGGAGCAGAAGGCCACAGGUUCAAAUCCUGUCGGGCGUA
This 74-nucleotide transfer RNA is filed under the name bacterium. Its description in RNAcentral is "tRNA-Arg". It matches the Rfam family "tRNA". Rfam says of the family: Transfer RNA (tRNA) molecules are approximately 80 nucleotides in length. Their secondary structure includes four short double-helical elements and three loops (D, anti-codon, and T loops). The record is from RNAcentral. RNAcentral also lists the same sequence under 1 other name.